UACAGAGGUCCCAAGCGUUGUUCGGAUUCACUGGGCGUAAAGGGUGCGUAGGCGGUCGGGCAAGUCUGCUGUGAAAUCUCACAGCUUAACUGUGAAACUGCAUUGGAUACUAUCCGGCUCGAGGAAUGGAGGGGAGACUGGAAUACUUGGUGUAGCAGUGAAAUGCGUAGAUAUCAAGUGGAACACCAGUGGCGAAGGCGAGUCUCUGGACAUUUCCUGACGCUGAGGCACGAAAGCCAGGGGAGCAAACGGG
This 253-nucleotide ribosomal RNA is filed under the name uncultured bacterium. RNAcentral's name for it is "partial 16S ribosomal RNA". It matches the Rfam family "Bacterial small subunit ribosomal RNA", at positions 524 to 776 of the family's 1533-position model. The record is from RNAcentral.